CCUACGGGUGGCAGCAGUGAGGAAUAUUGGUCAAUGGACGAAAGUCUGAACCAGCCAUGUCGCGUGAAGGAAGACGGCCCUAUGAGUUGUAAACUGCUUUUGUAUGGGGAUAAAAGAAGAUAUGCGUAUCUGUUUGUAAGUAUCGUACGAAUAAGGAUCGGCUAACUCCGUGCCAGCAGCCGCGGUAAUACGGAGGAUCCGAGCGUUAUCCGGAUUUAUUGGGUUUAAAGGGUGCGUAGGUGGUCUGUUAAGUUAGUGGUGAAAGUUCGCGGCUCAACUUCGAAAUUGCCGUUGAAACUGUUCGUCUCGAGUAUAGUAGCGGUAGGCGGAAUUCGUGGUGUAGCGGUGAAAUGCUUAGAGAUCACACAGAACUCCGAUUGCGAAGGCAGCUUACCGGACUACAACUGACAUUGAGGCUCGAAAGCGUGGGUAGCAAACAGGAUUAGAUACCCCAGUAGUC
Molecule: ribosomal RNA, 460 nt
Filed under: uncultured bacterium
Lineage: Bacteria
Description: partial 16S ribosomal RNA
Rfam family: Bacterial small subunit ribosomal RNA
Source: RNAcentral